This 497-nucleotide ribosomal RNA is filed under the name uncultured bacterium. Its description in RNAcentral is "partial 16S ribosomal RNA". It matches the Rfam family "Bacterial small subunit ribosomal RNA", at positions 28 to 507 of the family's 1533-position model. The record is from RNAcentral.
GAUGAACGCUGGCGGCGUGCCUAAUACAUGCAAGUCGAGCGAACAGACGAGGAGCUUGCUCCUCUGACGUUAGCGGCGGACGGGUGAGUAACACGUGGAUAACCUACCUAUAAGACUGGGAUAACUUCGGGAAACCGGAGCUAAUACCGGAUAAUAUAUUGAACAGCAUGGUUCAAUAGUGAAAGACGGUUUUGCUGUCACUUAUACAUGGAUCCGCGCCGCAUUAGCUAGUUGGUAAGGUAACGGCUUACCAAGGCAACGAUGCGUAGCCGACCUGAGAGGGUGAUCGGCCACACUGGAACUGAGACACGGUCCAGACUCCUACGGGAGGCAGCAGUAGGGAAUCUUCCGCAAUGGGCGAAAGCCUGACGGAGCAACGCCGCGUGAGUGAUGAAGGUCUUCGGAUCGUAAAACUCUGUUAUUAGGGAAGAACAAAUGUGUAAGUAACUAUGCACGUCUUGACGGUACCUAAUCAGAAAGCCACGGCUAACUACGUG